This 240-nucleotide unclassified non-coding RNA is filed under the name soil metagenome. Its description in RNAcentral is "partial contains 5.8S ribosomal RNA, internal transcribed spacer 2, and large subunit ribosomal RNA". The record is from RNAcentral.
AACCUAGCACACCUGCGGUGUGUACCUGCGGAAGGAUCAUUACAGAGUUGCAAAACUCCCUAAACCAUUGUGAACGUUACCUAAACCGUUGCUUCGGCGGGCGGCGCGCCCUCGCGCGCGCCCCUGGGCCCCACCGCGGGCGCCCGCCGGAGGUCACCAAACUCUUGAUAUUAAUUGGCCUCUCUGAGUCUUCUGUACUGAAUAAGUCAAAACUUUCAACAACGGAUCUCAGAUCGGAAG